GGGCGUGCUAAUCUGCGAUAAGCGCCGGUAAGGUGAUAUGAACCGUUAUAACCGGCGAUACCCGAAUGGGGAAACCCAGUGUGAUUCGUCACACUAUCAUUAACUGAAUCCAUAGGUUAAUGAGGCGAACCGGGGGAACUGAAACAUCUAAGUACCCCGAGGAAAAGAAAUCAACCGAGAUUCCCCCAGUAGCGGCGAGCGAACGGGGAGGAGCCCAGAGCCUGAAUCAGCAUGUGUGUUAGUGGAAGCGUCUGGAAAGGCGCGCGAUACAGGGUGACAGCCCCGUACACAAAAGCGCAUGUGCUGUGAGCUCGAUGAGUAGGGCGGGACACGUGGUAUCCUGUCUGAAUAUGGGGGGACCAUCCUCCAAGGCUAAAUACUCCUGACUGACCGAUAGUGAACCAGUACCGUGAGGGAAAGGCGAAAAGAACCCCGGCGAGGGGAGUGAAAAAGAACCUGAAACCGUGUACGUACAAGCAGUGGGAGCCCCACCACUAAGCCAGUGGUGAACUCCACAUACGCAUCCUUUGCUGAGGAUACGGUUAACGGAGCGAAAGCGACGUUCAACCUCAAAAGAAGCAGAGGGGGCUUAGUGGUGGGGUGACUGCGUACCUUU
This 616-nucleotide ribosomal RNA is filed under the name Salmonella enterica subsp. enterica serovar Wien. RNAcentral describes it as "partial 23S ribosomal RNA". It matches the Rfam family "Bacterial large subunit ribosomal RNA", at positions 54 to 608 of the family's 2925-position model. The record is from RNAcentral. Lineage: Bacteria; Pseudomonadati; Pseudomonadota; Gammaproteobacteria; Enterobacterales; Enterobacteriaceae.